Molecule: transfer-messenger RNA, 378 nt
Filed under: Rhodospirillales bacterium
Lineage: Bacteria; Pseudomonadati; Pseudomonadota; Alphaproteobacteria; Rhodospirillales
Rfam family: Alphaproteobacteria transfer-messenger RNA
About the family: Bacterial tmRNA, also known as 10Sa RNA or SsrA, is named for its dual tRNA and mRNA-like properties. Its role is to liberate the mRNA from a stalled ribosome.
Source: RNAcentral
UAACUUUUCUUUAGCGACAAGUCUCACUAUAUUAGGGGUGCCGGAUUCGUCCGGCUAUGGCGAUAAAUGGUCUCCGUAAUAAGCCUAUCGGACCCGGGGGCAGUACCCGGCGCCUCCACCACAUGCCGCAGCAACCUUGAACAUGGCAGGCGGCGGCAUCUGAUGGGGGCGAACUAGGAUCGACGAGGGUGUAAAGGGUGCACUUUUGCCCGGCAUGAUACCGCCGUUAUCGGGUCAAUCAGAAUAGUUGCCAAUGACAACUAUGCUGAGGCCGCUCUCGCUGCGUAACGCAGUGCGAAAAGCCUGAACUUGAAGCCUCGGCGUCUAGCCACGUCAGGCGCGGUUUCGGAGGGCACCGGGCAACAGAAGCCCUCCACU